This 666-nucleotide ribosomal RNA is filed under the name uncultured bacterium. RNAcentral describes it as "bacterial SSU rRNA". It matches the Rfam family "Bacterial small subunit ribosomal RNA", at positions 28 to 683 of the family's 1533-position model. The record is from RNAcentral.
AUUGAACGCUGGCGGCAUGCCUAACACAUGCAAGUCGAACGAUGAUUAAGAGCUUGCUCUUAUGAUUAGUGGCGGACGGGUGAGUAAUGUAUAGGGAUCUGCCCGGUAGUGGGGGACAACAGCCGGAAACGGCUGCUAAUACCGCAUACGCUCUACGGAGAAAAGUGGGGGACCUUCGGGCCUCACGCUAUCGGAUGAACCUAUAUCAGAUUAGCUAGAUGGUGGGGUAACGGCCUACCAUGGCGACGAUCUGUAGCUGGUUUGAGAGAAUGAUCAGCCACACUGGGACUGAGACACGGCCCCAGACUCCUACGGGAGGCAGCAGUGGGGGAAUAUUUGGACAAUGGGGGCCAAACCCCUGAUCCAGCAAUGCCGCGUGUGUGAAGGAGGCCUUCGGGUUGUAAAGCACUUUAAGUUGGGAGGAAAAGCUGCUUGUUAAUAGCGAGUAGUGUUGACGUUACCAACAGAAUAAGCACCGGCUAACUCCGUGCCAGCAGCCGCGGUAAUACGGAGGGUGCAAGCGUUAAUCGGAAUUACUGGGCGUAAAGCGCGCGUAGGCGGUUUGUUAAGUCAGAUGUGAAAUCCCCGGGCUCAACCUGGGAAUGGCAUUUGAGACUGGCAGGCUAGAGUGUGGUAGAGGUGAGUGGAAUUUCAGGUGUAGCGGUG